CUUGAGCUAAUACCGUAUAAUGACUUCGGUCCAAAGAUUUAUCGCCUGAGGAUGAGCCCGCGUAGGAUUAGCUAGUUGGUGAGGUAAAAGCUCACCAAGGCGACGAUCCUUAGCUGGUCUGAGAGGAUGAUCAGCCACACUGGGACUGAGACACGGCCCAGACUCCUACGGGAGGCAGCAGUGGGGAAUAUUGGACAAUGGGCGAAAGCCUGAUCCAGCAAUGCCGCGCGAGUGAUGAAGGCCUUGGGGUUGUAAAGCUCUUUUACCCGGGAUGAUAAUGACAGUACCGGGAGAAUAAGCCCCGGCUAACUCCGUGCCAGCAGCCGCGGUAAUACGGAGGGGGCUAGCGUUGUUCGGAAUUACUGGGCGUAAAGCGCGCGUAGGCGGCUUUGUCAAGUUAGAGGUGAAAGCCCGGAGCUCAACUCCGGAACUGCCUUUAAGACUGCAU
This 448-nucleotide ribosomal RNA is filed under the name uncultured Sphingomonadaceae bacterium. RNAcentral describes it as "bacterial SSU rRNA". It matches the Rfam family "Bacterial small subunit ribosomal RNA", at positions 157 to 638 of the family's 1533-position model. Lineage: Bacteria; Pseudomonadati; Pseudomonadota; Alphaproteobacteria; Sphingomonadales; Sphingomonadaceae. The record is from RNAcentral.